This is a long non-coding RNA of Sipha flava (yellow sugarcane aphid), 445 nucleotides long. RefSeq lists it as uncharacterized. The transcript is spliced from 2 exons. The record is from RefSeq and is a predicted model, not a curated record. NCBI's taxonomy places the organism in Eukaryota, Metazoa, Arthropoda, Insecta, Hemiptera, Aphididae.
GAUCAUCAGUCAGCACAUGUCAGUGCUCAGUUUUAAUUCAUGGAUUAACAUUUAAACGUACUCGUAUGUCAAAAAUCGUGGUCUACACUUAACAGUGUUAAAUCUCCAAUGUUCGUUUUACAUUAUAUAUUUUCUAUGAUUUGAACUCAAUAUUUUUAAGCACUCUACUUACUUGUGAGGUGUGGUAUUUAUUGACGUUCAUACCAGUGAAUUUGAAAUUUCUACUUCGCGUUUUAAAAUUCAAACAAAUUGCGCUACGUGGACUCAUUCUGUUUGAUGGUUGUGAUAAAAUCUUUAUUUAAUCACGACAAUGAUGAAGUAUGGCUAAGUGUUCUAAAAGUUCUCAAGAUAUAAAUCAUUUUAUUUAGUAUCCUAGUGAAUUAUUAAGUAUUGAUGAAGAAUAACAUUACUAAGGUCAUAUUUUAAAAUGGAUAAUAUACUUCAA